UGGACUUGACAUCUGUUGAAUCUUUUGGAAACUUAAGAGUGCCUCUUCGUGGGAACGACAAGAC
RNAcentral lists this ribosomal RNA (64 nucleotides) under uncultured bacterium. RNAcentral describes it as "partial 16S ribosomal RNA". The record is from RNAcentral.